This 253-nucleotide ribosomal RNA is filed under the name uncultured bacterium. RNAcentral's name for it is "partial 16S ribosomal RNA". It matches the Rfam family "Bacterial small subunit ribosomal RNA", at positions 524 to 776 of the family's 1533-position model. The record is from RNAcentral.
UACGGAGGAUGCAAGCGUUAUCCGGAAUGAUUGGGCGUAAAGGGUCCGCAGGUGGCAUUGUAAGUCUGCUGUUAAAGAGUCUGGCUCAACCAGAUAAAAGCAGUGGAAACUACAAAGCUAGAGUAUGGUCGGGGCAGAGGGAAUUCCUGGUGUAGCGGUGAAAUGCGUAGAUAUCAGGAAGAACACCGGUGGCGAAGGCGCUCUGCUAGGCCAAAACUGACACUGAGGGACGAAAGCUAGGGGAGCGAAUGGG